GGGCCCGCACAAGCAGUGGAGCAUGUGGUUUAAUUCGAUGCAACGCGAGGAACCUUACCAGGGCUUAAAUGCAGAAUGACAGAUUGGGAAACCAGUCCUUCUUCGGACAUUUUGCAAGGUGCUGCAUGGUUGUCGUCAGCUCGUGCUGUGAAGUGUCGGGUUAAGUCCCAUAACGAGCGCAACCCCUAUUUCUAGUUGCCAGCGGUUCGGCCGGGGACUCUAGAGAAACUGCCAGCGUAAGCUGUGAGGAAGGUGGGGAUGACGUCAAAUCAUCACGGCCCUUACAUCCUGGGCCACACACGUGCUACAAUGGUGGGGACAACAGGUUGCCAACCCGCGAGGGUGAGCCAAUCCCAAAACCCCAUCUCAGUUCGGAUCGGAGUCUGCAACUCGACUCCGUGAAGUUGGAAUC
Molecule: ribosomal RNA, 412 nt
Filed under: uncultured bacterium
Lineage: Bacteria
Description: bacterial SSU rRNA
Rfam family: Bacterial small subunit ribosomal RNA
Source: RNAcentral